Molecule: unclassified non-coding RNA, 633 nt
Filed under: uncultured Bradyrhizobium sp.
Lineage: Bacteria; Pseudomonadati; Pseudomonadota; Alphaproteobacteria; Hyphomicrobiales; Nitrobacteraceae
Description: partial 16S-23S ribosomal RNA intergenic spacer
Rfam family: Bacterial large subunit ribosomal RNA (bases 512-633)
Source: RNAcentral
UCUUCCCAGGCCCACCACUUUCAUCGAGUGAGCAUUCGUCUUCUGGUUACGGGGCCAUAGCUCAGCUGGGAGAGCGCGUGCUUUGCAAGCAUGAGGUCGUCGGUUCGAUCCCGUCUGGCUCCACCAGAUGGUUUGAUCACCGAGAUCUUGUACCGUCGUCCGCGAAACAUCACUUCGCAUCCUGCUAGUCUGGAUAGACAGCAAGAUGCGUGUUUUCUGACAUCGUAAAGAGGAGAUCGAUCCGAGUUGGGUCGUGCAGCGGAUUGUUGCGCGAAUCCUUCAUUAUCUCCGGAUCAUUUUCGGCGCUCGCUUUCAGCCGUGAGGUUGAAUGCGAGUUGUAAAAUGAUCCUUUUAGCGAAGCUUGACCGCCUCGCUAUCGGAACGAUCUUACGAAGCAAGCUGGUCUUUCUAGUCAAUGUCCGGCUGUGCGUAGCGUUCAUCGAGGGCGCGUGCCGUAAGGCAAUCGUACAGACAACAUUCUGCCGAGUGUGUGGACAUUGAUAAUGAGAGCAAUCAAGUGCCUUAAGGGUGUUCGGUGGAUGCCUUGGCGCUGAGAGGCGAUGAAGGACGUGCUACGCUGCGAUAAGCCGUGGGGAGCUGCGAAGAAGCUUUGAUCCGCGGAUUUCCGAAUGG